GACGAACGCUGGCGGCGUGCCUAACACAUGCAAGUCGAGCGGAGUUAGUUUGCAGCUUGCUGCAAACUAACUUAGCGGCGGACGGGUGAGUAACGCGUGGAUAACCCGCCUUUUACAGGGGGAUAACACAGGAAACUUGUGCUAAUACCGCAUAACAUAUCGAGGUGGCAUCACCUUGAUAUCAAAGGAGUAAUCCGGUAGAAGAUGGAUCCGCGUCCGAUUAGCUAGUUGGCGGGGGAAAGGCCCACCAAGGCGACGAUCGGUAGCCGAACUGAGAGGUUGAUCGGCCACAUUGGGACUGAGACACGGCCCAGACUCCUACGGGAGGCAGCAGUGGGGAAUAUUGCGCAAUGGGGGAAACCCUGACGCAGCAACGCCGCGUGAAGGAUGAAGGCUUUCGGGUUGUAAACUUCUUUAGUCGGGGACGAAUGGAUGACGGUACCCGAAGAAUAAGCCACGGCUAACUACGUGCCAGCAGCCGCCGUAA
This 487-nucleotide ribosomal RNA is filed under the name uncultured bacterium. Its description in RNAcentral is "partial 16S ribosomal RNA". It matches the Rfam family "Bacterial small subunit ribosomal RNA", at positions 28 to 523 of the family's 1533-position model. The record is from RNAcentral.